Long non-coding RNA from Heterocephalus glaber (naked mole-rat), 678 nucleotides. The record is from Ensembl. Lineage: Eukaryota; Metazoa; Chordata; Mammalia; Rodentia; Bathyergidae.
CUGGGGGAGCCGCUCCCUGCUGCCAGGAGAGUCGGCCACGGAGUCGGCCACGGCCGGGAGAGAACUCCAUGGAAUCAAACCCCAGGAGUGGCUUCCUCAUGAGUUUCGUUUGGACACUGCCUCGUGCCCCACACCAAGAGUCGAGCCUGCCUCACUUCACGGAGGUUCAGUCACCUAACUCAUGCGUGUGCCCACCACUGCAGGCAACGACUCUGAGGCACAUCCAUCUGGUCCAGGGCAGACCAGUGUCUCACACAGCCAGAUCUGACAGACAGAGACCCAACCCGGGCCAUCUCCAGGAGUCAGGAAAUGCAGAAGCGGAGCCCUUCCCACGCACAGCUCCCACUCCCAGAAGAGCCAAUUACACCCCCACUUCAAUGACAUGUGACGAGAAACAGCACCAGCAUAGGGCCAGGAAGUACGUGUGCCACAGGCUACCAGGUUAGCCAAGGUCCUCCAGCAGGGGCAUAGGUGGCCCCUACGGAUACCAUCCCAGGAGACCCUGCUGGUAGCUCUUUCCAGCAGAAGCACCAGCAUCACCUGUGCUGAUGGGUCCACAGAAGCCCAAGCAGCGACCACCUGGUGACCCAGUCAGACGGGAAGGUAUGGCCAGCUGCAAGUGUGAUGUCAGCCACAGCCACAGCAGACUGCAGACACCAACGAUUCCUGAGCCUCUAA